RNAcentral lists this unclassified non-coding RNA (238 nucleotides) under uncultured fungus. RNAcentral describes it as "partial contains 18S rRNA, ITS1 and 5.8S rRNA". The record is from RNAcentral. Lineage: Eukaryota; Fungi.
UGGUGAACCAGCGGAGGGAUCAUUACCGAGUUUACAACUCCCAAACCCAAUGUGAACGUUACCAAACUGUUGCCUCGGCGGGGUCACGCCCCGGGUGCGUAAAAGCCCCGGAACCAGGCGCCCGCCGGAGGAACCAACCAAACUCUUUCUGUAGUCCCCUCGCGGACGUAUUUCUUACAGCUCUGAGCAAAAAUUCAAAAUGAAUCAAAACUUUCACCAACGGAUCUAAGGGUUCUGG